This 362-nucleotide long non-coding RNA is filed under the name Oryza brachyantha (malo sina). RNAcentral describes it as "long non-coding RNA (OBRA_LNC003163)". The record is from RNAcentral. Lineage: Eukaryota; Viridiplantae; Streptophyta; Magnoliopsida; Poales; Poaceae.
UAACAUGCAUUCUAAGAUCCAGACUGAAACAAUUGAAGCCCAAUAGAAACCACAGGUGCUGUACAUUUACUUUGUCUUACAAACAGAUUCUGCAUCUACAGUUAAUUACUUUGUCUUCCACAGGCCAACACAAGAAGCAAAAUUGCUUUAGGAAAGGGAGGCACUUUGAAUGUUAGAUGGACAGGCUCAAGGGGCGAUUUUACGCUUAGGUUGCUCUGAAGGAAGGCUUCUUUGUGGAGAGGAUUCAUCAGCAUCUCAUAAAGGGCUUUAUCGUCUUCUUCAUGAAUUCGUCCAGACCUAUCUUCUUCGAUAUCACUUCCAAUAAGGGCCCGCCUCUUGUUUUGUUUUAGUAGCAUCUGAUG